This 810-nucleotide ribosomal RNA is filed under the name uncultured bacterium. RNAcentral's name for it is "bacterial SSU rRNA". It matches the Rfam family "Bacterial small subunit ribosomal RNA", at positions 8 to 796 of the family's 1533-position model. The record is from RNAcentral.
AGAGUUUGAUCCUGGCUCAGAACGAACGCUGGCGGCGUGGAUAAGACAUGCAAGUCGAGCGAGAUUUUUUCCUGUAGCAAUACAGGGAAAAGUCUAGCGGCGAACGGGUGAUUAACACGUGGGCAACCUGCCGUGAAGUGGGGGAUAGCUCGCCGAAAGGCGAAUUAAUACCGCAUGUGAUUAGAAAGGACAUCCUUUCGAAAUUAAAGUCGGGGCAACCUGACGCUUCUUGUGGGGCCCGCGGCCUAUCAGCUAGUUGGUGAGGUAAUGGCUCACCAAGGCUUUGACGGGUAGCUGGUCUGAGAGGACGACCAGCCACACUGGGACUGAGACACGGCCCAGACACCUACGGGUGGCAGCAGUCGAGAAUUUUUGACAAUGGGGGAAACCCUGAUCGAGCGACGCCGCGUGGAGGAUGAAGGUCUUCGGAUUGUAAACUCCUGUCAUUGGGGAACAAUGCGUGACGGUUAACUGCCGUCGCGUUGAUAGUACCCGAAGAGGAAGAGACGGCUAACUCUGUGCCAGCAGCCGCGGUAAUACAGAGGUCUCAAGCGUUGUUCGGAUUCAUUGGGCGUAAAGGGUGCGUAGGCGGCGCGGUAAGUCGGGUGUGAAAUCUCGGAGCUUAACUCCGAAACUGCAUUCGAUACUGCCGUGCUUGAGGACUGGAGAGGAGACUGGAAUUUACGGUGUAGCGGUGAAAUGCGUAGAUAUCGUAAGGAAGACCAGUGGCGAAGGCGGGUCUCUGGACAGUUCCUGACGCUGAGGCACGAAGGUCAGGGGAGCAAACGGGAUUAGAUACCCCAGUAGUCC